UGGACCAAUGAUGACUACUGGUGGCGUAUGAGUCAUUGAUGGUGAAUACCCUUUAACUCUGAGGUCCAA
Molecule: small nucleolar RNA, 69 nt
Organism: Myotis lucifugus (little brown bat)
Lineage: Eukaryota; Metazoa; Chordata; Mammalia; Chiroptera; Vespertilionidae
Product: small nucleolar RNA SNORD113/SNORD114 family
Source: Ensembl